Notothenia coriiceps (black rockcod) is the source of this 190-nucleotide long non-coding RNA. RefSeq lists it as uncharacterized. The record is from RefSeq and is a predicted model, not a curated record. The transcript has 2 exons. NCBI's taxonomy places the organism in Eukaryota, Metazoa, Chordata, Actinopteri, Perciformes, Nototheniidae.
AGACCCAGGAGGAAGCGAAGGAACAAGUUGAGGUGUCCGUUUGGACUCUGUAAGGCCUGGUGCACAGCACUCUGGUAGAGAUGUGUUGGUUUGGGUCUGAACACUUCAGACUGCUGGGAGGUUGUUGGUUCUUCUGCCAGCAGGUUGACUCCAGAGUUGAUGAAGGUCAGAUGGACAUGAAGAGCAGCCA